AUGGCAGCGACUGCCAUGUCCCUUUCCUCCUCGUCCUUUGCCGGCAAGAUGAUGAAGAACAUACCGUCAUCGGCUCUCUUCGGUGAGGCCCGUGUCACCAUGCGUAAGACUGCAGCGAAGGUGAAACAGGUUACCUCUGGUAGCCCAUGGUACGGUGCCGACCGUGUGCUCUACCUCGGCCCACUCUCUCGUGAGCCCCCGAGCUACCUCAUCGGUGAGUUCCCAGGCGAUUAUGGUUGGGACACUGCUGGACUUUCGGCUGACCUCGAGACCUUCUCCAAGAAUCGGGAGCUGGAAGUGAUCCACUGUCGUUGGGCCAUGCUUGGGGCACUUGGUUGCGUCUUCCCUGAGUUGCUCGCCCGCAACGGCGUCAAGUUUGGCGAGGCUGUCGUCCUCAUGGGUGCCGUCGAGGGGUACAGCGUUGCUGGUGGCCCACUCGGUGAGAUCGUCGACCCACUAUACCCAGGAGGCAGCUUCGACCCUCUGGGCCUAGCCGACGACCCUGAGGCAUUCGCCGAGCUCAAGGUGAAGGAGAUCAAGAAUGGUCGCCUUGCCAUGUUCUCAAUGUUCGGCUUCUUUGUCCAAGCUAUCGUCACGGGCAAGGGCCCACUUGAGAACCUCGCUGACCACAUCGCUGACCCAGUCAACAACAACGCAUGGGCGUUUGCCACGAACUUUGUCCCCGGCAAGUAA
RNAcentral lists this ribosomal RNA (693 nucleotides) under Triticum aestivum (bread wheat). Its description in RNAcentral is "partial small subunit ribosomal RNA". The record is from RNAcentral. Lineage: Eukaryota; Viridiplantae; Streptophyta; Magnoliopsida; Poales; Poaceae.